ACGAACGCUGGCGGCGUGCUUAACACAUGCCAGUCGAACGGAAAGGCCCUGCUUUUGUGGGGUGCUCGAGUGGCGAACGGGUGAGUAACACGUGAGUCACCUGCCCUUGACUUUGGGAUAACUUCAGGAAACUGGGGCUAAUACCGGAUAGGAGCUCCUGCUGCAUGGUGGGGGUUGGAAAGUUUCGGCGGUUGGGGAUGGACUCGCGGCUUAUCAGCUUGUUGGUGGGGUAGUGGCUUACCAAGGCUUUGACGGGUAGCCGGCCUGAGAGGGUGACCGGCCACAUUGGGACUGAGAUACGGCCCAGACUCCUACGGGAGGCAGCAGUGGGGAAUAUUGCACAAUGGGCGGAAGCCUGAUGCAGCAACGCCGCGUGCGGGAUGACGGCCUUCGGGUUGUAAACCGCUUUCGCCUGUGACGAAGCGUGAGUGACGGUAAUGGGUAAAGAAGCACCGGCUAACUACGUG
This 467-nucleotide ribosomal RNA is filed under the name uncultured bacterium. Its description in RNAcentral is "partial 16S ribosomal RNA". It matches the Rfam family "Bacterial small subunit ribosomal RNA", at positions 29 to 507 of the family's 1533-position model. The record is from RNAcentral.